RNAcentral lists this ribosomal RNA (1246 nucleotides) under 'Vaccinium corymbosum' phytoplasma. Its description in RNAcentral is "bacterial SSU rRNA". It matches the Rfam family "Bacterial small subunit ribosomal RNA", at positions 152 to 1398 of the family's 1533-position model. The record is from RNAcentral. Lineage: Bacteria; Bacillati; Mycoplasmatota; Mollicutes; Acholeplasmatales; Acholeplasmataceae.
GAAAACGACUGCUAAGACUGGAUAGGAGACAAGAAGGCAUCUUCUUGUUUUUAAAAGACCUAGCAAUAGGUAUGCUUAGGGAGGAGCUUGCGUCACAUUAGUUAGUUGGUGGGGUAAAGGCCUACCAAGACUAUGAUGUGUAGCCGGGCUGAGAGGUUGAACGGCCACAUUGGGACUGAGACACGGCCCAAACUCCUACGGGAGGCAGCAGUAGGGAAUUUUCGGCAAUGGAGGAAACUCUGACCGAGCAACGCCGCGUGAACGAUGAAGUAUUUCGGUACGUAAAGUUCUUUUAUUAGGGAAGAAUAAAUGAUGGAAAAAUCAUUCUGACGGUACCUAAUGAAUAAGCCCCGGCUAACUAUGUGCCAGCAGCCGCGGUAAUACAUAGGGGGCAAGCGUUAUCCGGAAUUAUUGGGCGUAAAGGGUGCGUAGGCGGUUAAAUAAGUUUAUGGUCUAAGUGCAAUGCUCAACAUUGUGAUGCUAUAAAAACUGUUUAGCUAGAGUAAGAUAGAGGCAAGUGGAAUUCCAUGUGUAGUGGUAAAAUGCGUAAAUAUAUGGAGGAACACCAGUAGCGAAGGCGGCUUGCUGGGUCUUUACUGACGCUGAGGCACGAAAGCGUGGGGAGCAAACAGGAUUAGAUACCCUGGUAGUCCACGCCGUAAACGAUGAGUACUAAACGUUGGGUAAAACCAGUGUUGAAGUUAACACAUUAAGUACUCCGCCUGAGUAGUACGUACGCAAGUAUGAAACUUAAAGGAAUUGACGGGACUCCGCACAAGCGGUGGAUCAUGUUGUUUAAUUCGAAGGUACCCGAAAAACCUCACCAGGUCUUGACAUGCUUCUGCAAAACUGUAGAAACACAGUGGAGGUUAUCAGUUGCACAGGUGGUGCAUGGUUGUCGUCAGCUCGUGUCGUGAGAUGUUGGGUUAAGUCCCGCAACGAGCGCAACCCUUAUUGUUAGUUACCAGCACGUAAUGGUGGGGACUUUAGCAAGACUGCCGGUGAUAAAUUGGAGGAAGGUGGGGACGACGUCAAAUCAUCAUGCCCCUUAUGACCUGGGCUACAAACGUGAUACAAUGGCUGUUACAAAGGGUAGCUGAAACGCAAGUUUUUGGCGAAUCUCAAAAAAACAGUCUCAGUUCGGAUUGAAGUCUGCAACUCGACUUCAUGAAGUUGGAAUCGCUAGUAAUCGCGAAUCAGCAUGUCGCGGUGAAUACGUUCGCGGGGUUUGUACACACCGCCCGUC